CCACAAAAUAUCUUGCUAGGAGGCCCAUCCCCCUGGGCCUCUUAUAGUGUCCUAUGCUAGAGCCAACUGUGACCCCGAACCAUUGCCUGGCCUCUGUGUCAUUAGGCUGCUGGAACUGAAGUGUGUUGCACAGCA
RNAcentral lists this small nucleolar RNA (135 nucleotides) under Marmota marmota marmota (Alpine marmot). RNAcentral's name for it is "Small nucleolar RNA SNORA42/SNORA80 family (ENSMMMG00000001361.1)". It matches the Rfam family "Small nucleolar RNA SNORA42/SNORA80 family". From Rfam's summary of the family: The members of this family belong to the H/ACA class of snoRNAs that guide the sites of modification of uridines to pseudouridines. Human ACA42 (SNORA42) was cloned from HeLa cells by immunoprecipitation with anti-GAR1 antibody. Lineage: Eukaryota; Metazoa; Chordata; Mammalia; Rodentia; Sciuridae. The record is from RNAcentral.